GAUGAACGCUAGCUACAGGCUUAACACAUGCAAGUCGAGGGGAAACGACAUCGAAAGCUUGCUUUUGAUGGGCGUCGACCGGCGCACGGGUGAGUAACGCGUAUCCAACCUGCCCACCACUUGGGGAUAACCUUGCGAAAGUAAGACUAAUACCCAAUGCUAUCUCUAGAAGACAUCUGAAAGGGAUUAAAGAUUUAUCGGUGAUGGAUGGGGAUGCGUCUGAUUAGCUUGUUGGCGGGGUAACGGCCCACCAAGGCGACGAUCAGUAGGGGUUCUGAGAGGAAGGUCCCACACAUUGGAACUAAGACACUGUACAAACUCCUACGACAGGGAGCAGUGAGGAAUAUUGGUCAAUGGGCGAGAGCCUGAACCAGCAAAGUAGCGUGCAGUAUGACGGCCCUAUGGGUUAUAAACUCCUUUUAUAAGGGAAUAAAGUGGGAGUCGUGACUCCUUUUGCAUGUACCGUAUGAAUAAGGACCGGCUAAGUCCCUGCCAGCCGCCGCAGUAA
This 508-nucleotide ribosomal RNA is filed under the name uncultured bacterium. RNAcentral describes it as "partial 16S ribosomal RNA". It matches the Rfam family "Bacterial small subunit ribosomal RNA", at positions 28 to 523 of the family's 1533-position model. The record is from RNAcentral.